This 466-nucleotide ribosomal RNA is filed under the name uncultured bacterium. RNAcentral describes it as "partial 16S ribosomal RNA". It matches the Rfam family "Bacterial small subunit ribosomal RNA", at positions 28 to 507 of the family's 1533-position model. The record is from RNAcentral.
GAUGAACGCUGGCGGCGUGCUUAACACAUGCAAGUCGAACGGAAAGGCCCAAGCUUGCUUGGGUACUCGAGUGGCGAACGGGUGAGUAACACGUGGGUGAUCUGCCCUGCACUUCGGGAUAAGACUGGGAAACUGGGUCUAAUACCGGAUAGGACCACAUUAUGGAUGGUGUGGUGGAAAGAUUUUCGGUGUGGGAGGAGCUCGCGGGCUAUCAGCUUGUUGGUGGGGUAAUGGCCUACCAAGGCGUCGACGGGUAGCCGGCCUGAGAGGGUGUACGGCCACCUUGGGACUUAGGUACGGCCCAGGCUCCUACGGGAGGCCGCAGUGGGGAAUCUUGCCCAAUGGGCGCCAGCCUGAUGCAGCGACGCCGCGUGUCGUAUGACGGCCUUCUUGUUGUAAACUCCUUUCGCUAGGGACGAAGCGUUAUGUGACGGUACCUGGUGAAGAAGCACCGGCUAACUACGUG